RNAcentral lists this ribosomal RNA (408 nucleotides) under uncultured bacterium. RNAcentral describes it as "partial 16S ribosomal RNA". It matches the Rfam family "Bacterial small subunit ribosomal RNA", at positions 29 to 526 of the family's 1533-position model. The record is from RNAcentral.
AGUGAACGCUGGCGGCGUGCCUAAUACAUGCAAGUCGAACGGAGUGGCGCACGGGUGAGUAAUAUAUAGCUAAUCUGCCCCUUGCUGGCGGACAAAAGUCAGAAAUGACUGCUAAUACUCCAUAGCAAGGGAUGAGACUAUAUCGUAUCAGCUAGUCGGUGGGGUAACGGCCGACCGAGGCGAUGACGCGUAACUGGUCUGCGAGGAUGAUCAGUAACAUUGGAACGGAGACACGAUCCAAACACCUACGAGAGGCGGCAGUAGGGAAUAUUGCGCAAGGGGGGGAGCCGUGACGGGGCAACGCCGCGUGGAGGAUGACACUUUUCGAAGCGGAAACUCGUUUUGUUAGGGAAGCGGUACCUAACGAAUAAGCACCGGCUAACUCCGUGCCAGCAGCCGCGGUAAUAC